Molecule: ribosomal RNA, 275 nt
Filed under: uncultured Limnohabitans sp.
Lineage: Bacteria; Pseudomonadati; Pseudomonadota; Betaproteobacteria; Burkholderiales; Comamonadaceae
Description: partial 16S ribosomal RNA
Rfam family: Bacterial small subunit ribosomal RNA
Source: RNAcentral
CUCGGAGUUUGAUCCUGGCUCAGAUUGAACGCUGGCGGAAUGCUUUACACAUGCAAGUCGAACGGUAGAGGGGGCAACCCCUUGAGAGUGGCGAACGGGUGAGUAAUAUAUCGGAACGUGCCCGAGUCGUGGGGGAUAACGUAGUGAAAAUUACGCUAAUACCGCAUACGAUCUAAGGAUGAAAGCGGGGGAUCGCAAGACCUCGCGCGAUUGGAGCGGCCGAUAUCAGAUUAGGUAGUUGGUGAGGUAAGGCUCACCAAGCCAACGAUCUGUAG